This 809-nucleotide ribosomal RNA is filed under the name uncultured marine bacterium. Its description in RNAcentral is "bacterial SSU rRNA". It matches the Rfam family "Bacterial small subunit ribosomal RNA", at positions 60 to 874 of the family's 1533-position model. The record is from RNAcentral.
AGUCGAGCGAAGCUUUUCAGUAGUUUACUACAGAAAAUGACUGAGCGGCGAACGGGUGAGUAACGCGUGAGCAAUCUACCUUAGUUACAGGGAUAGCCCGAGGAAACUCGGAUUAAUACCUGAUAUUCUUUAUUUCUCGCAUGAGAAUAAAAGGAAAGGUCAGCCGAACUAAGAUGAGCUCGCGUUCUAUCAGCUAGUUGGUGAGGUAAAAGCUUACCAAGGCUACGACGGAUAGCUGGUCUGAGAGGACGAUCAGCCACACUGGGACUGAGACACGGCCCAGACUCCUACGGGAGGCUGCAGCAGGGAAUAUUGUGCAAUGAACGAAAGUUUGACACAGCGACACCGCGUGUGGGAUGACGGAUCUAGGUUUGUAAACCACUUUCAGGAGGGAAGAAAAUGACGGUACCUCCACAAGAAGCCCCGGCCAACUACGUGCCAGCAGCCGCGGUAAUACGUAGGGGGCGAGCGUUGUCCGGAUUUAUUGGGCGUAAAGAGCUCGUAGGCGGUUCAACAAGUCGGUAGUAAAAGUUCAGGGCUCAACCCUGAAAUGUCUAUCGAUACUGUUGUGACUAGGAUACGGCAGAGGUGAGUGGAUUUCCGAGUGUAGCGGUGAAAUGCAUAGAUAUUCGGAGGAACACCAAUUGCGAAGGCAGCUCACUGGGCCGCUAUCGACGCUGAGGAGCGAAAGCUAGGGGAGCAAACAGGAUUAGAUACCCUGGUAGUCCUAGCUGUAAACGAUGGAUACUAGACGUAGGAACUGGAUUGACGGUUUCUGUGUCGUAGCUAACGCGUUAAGUAUCCCGCCU